CCAUUAGAGUUUUUCUUAUCCAAGACUCGCUUAUCCAAGGUUCUAGAUUAUCCAAUGCUUUUUUGUAGUCAAUGUUUUCAAUAUAUCGUGAUAUUUUGGUGCUAAAUUCAUAAAUACAGUAAUUACAACAUAACAUUACUGCGUACUGAACUACUUUUUCUGUCAAAUUUGUUGUAAAACAUGUUUUGGUGCUUAAUUUGUAAAAUCAUAACCUAAUUUGAUGUUUAAAAGUCUUUUCCUUAAUCCCUCCUUAUUAUCCAACAUAUUUGCUUAUCCAAGGUUCUGCCUGCUCAUUUAGCUUGGAUAAGUGAGACUCUACUGCAUAUAAUCCACAAUUAUCUGGGUUUGAACUGGGUUAUCGGAGUCCACAGUGCCAUAUACUCCAGUUCGAUGUGGAUUUUAUACAGCUGUGUGGAAGGGGCCCCAGAGGCAUCCUUGGUGCUUCAUAUUAUUCCUCAACCUAUAAAGUUGGUGAAUAUGAGCUUGCUGGGUUGUAUUUCACUUUAGUCCUAGCCAGCCUAGCUAGUGGUGAAGGAGUUGUAGUCCAAUGUAAGGUAGAAGGUUACACAUUCUAAAUGUUGGCGCUACUGACUGACUGACUCUCACUACCCGCCCUUCUUCUUCUUCUUCGUCGUCGUCGUCUUCUUCCUCCACGCGUGGCCCGCGCGCCUCCCUCCCUCAGGAGAGACGCAAAUCUCUCAUCGGCCCUGAGCAGGAGAGGACUCCGCCGUCGCGCGCCCUCCUCUCUGCUUCCCUCGGGAGGCAGGCCACGCGCCAGGGACGCCAACGGCACCGGCACGCGCGCACCCGCUCAGGGCAGGAGGAAGGGAGCGCGUGCGUGCGUCCGAAGGGGAGGGGGCGCCCCCCUCCCCCCCAAUCCCUAUCCUUUCCCUCUCGCGCUCGGGCGUCCGAGGCUUAGGGCUGGGCUGCAGGCGAGCAGCGAGGCAGGCAGGCGGGCGGGCGGCAAGGCACGCACGCACGCGCCAGCCAGCGCGAGGCGAAGGAUGCUCCCGUCGCCAUGGCAGCGGCGGCGGCGGCACCAGCAGCGUUGAGAGCAAGAAGAGUUUUUUAAACCCUGAGUUGCCAAGGAACUAUGGGAAAAUAAUUAACCCUUCCUACAAUUCUCGUCUGGCUAUCUACAGAUUCCAAACCAUAGCAGAGAAUUCUUGCUGAGCUCAAGGAGUUGGCAGGUGAACAUGUUAGGCUCCUCUGAUGACUGGAGUGCUCCCUGGCCAGCUCAGGCAUUUGGUGAUGGAUAUCUAGUAUUGUGACUUGUGAGAACCAGGCUUUACAGCUUCUUCUCUUCCCUUCAUAUAUCCAUUGUCUUUCAGAGAGAGGCAAAGCUGAGUGGGCUGUUAAAGAAAGGUAAUAAUUUUUAAUUAUGUGAAGGAGACAGAGAGAAAGAAAGAGAAGGAAAGACAGGAAGCAACAGGGGGAAGUGGUGACCGUAAUUAAAUCUGUUUCUGCCCCUUCUUUACCUUGUACUUUAAAAAAAAUCUUAUCGUAUUUAUUUUGAAGAUAUAUAUCUUGCUUCCCUGUGUGUUUGAGGCAGCUCAAAACUCCGUAAAAACAAAUUGCAACAAAACAAUCUAAAAUAGAUAUUUAAUACAAUUUUUUUAAAAACCCCAGUAGCACAAAUUCAGAUCCUAUCUCCUCUGCAAAUCCUUGCAGGAGCAAACCCUCAUACUCCAAAAGAAUGACAGUUCAUAUCAACAGCAAAUUGGUAAUUGCUUAGGCCAAUGCUAAAACGGAUUUAACACAUACCAACUGAAGGCCAUAAACAACUAGGCUUAUAUUUUCAUGGGGAAAAAAAAUCUAAACUGGAUAAUGAAGUACAGACUAACAUCCUUGUAAGUAGACCUGCAUCUGUAAAAAUUGGAAGGAUCCUUCAGUUCAGUGCAGAUGCUAACUUUCCCUUAAAAACAAAAAUGGGUUUUCACAGAUAAUCCAGAAAUCUAGUUUCCCCCCAUUGUUCCUCUGUUUUCUAUGCAUUUUAUUAAAAAGAAAAUCUGGAAUUAAAUUCAGUAUAGAAUUCAAUAUAAAAGAAAGUAAUCUAAGAAUAAGAAUGGGGGAAGAGAAGACAUGAAUCAAAAGAAGGAUAAUUAAGAUAUCAGAAGGAGAGGUAAGGACAUUCAACAGUGUAACAAAGAAUAGUGCAAGAUGUCUCCCAGAUGUUAUGUCUACAUUUCUCUCCUAUUUCCCUUUGGUAGCUGAUAAAAUAGCAAUACUGGCUCCUCUACAACACUCUGGUGCGUAAUCCUUUGUGGUGCUUUCUAGAG
This is a long non-coding RNA of Anolis carolinensis (green anole), 2279 nucleotides long. Lineage: Eukaryota; Metazoa; Chordata; Lepidosauria; Squamata; Anolidae. The record is from Ensembl.